CGUAACAAGGUCUCCGUUGGUGAACCAGCGGAGGGAUCAUUAUAGAGUUUUCUAAACUCCCAACCCAUGUGAACUUACCUUUUGUUGCCUCGGCAGAAGUUAUAGGUCUUCUUAUAGCUGCUGCCGGUGGACCAUUAAACUCUUGUUAUUUUAUGUAAUCUGAGCGUCUUAUUUUAAUAAGUCAAAACUUUCAACAACGGAUCUCUUGGUUCUGGCAUCGAUGAAGAACGCAGCGAAAUGCGAUAAGUAAUGUGAAUUGCAGAAUUCAGUGAAUCAUCGAAUCUUUGAACGCACAUUGCGCCCAUUAGUAUUCUAGUGGGCAUGCCUGUUCGAGCGUCAUUUCAACCCUUAAGCCUAGCUUAGUGUUGGGAAUCUACUUCUCUUAGGAGUUGUAGUUCCUGAAAUACAACGGCGGAUUUGUAGUAUCCUCUGAGCGUAGUAAUUUUUUUCUCGCUUUUGUUAGGUGCUAUAACUCCCAGCCGCUAAACCCCCAAUUUUUUGUGGUUGACCUCGGAUCAGGUAGGAAUACCCGCUGAACUUAAGCAUAUC
This 549-nucleotide ribosomal RNA is filed under the name Pestalotiopsis microspora. RNAcentral's name for it is "eukaryotic LSU rRNA". The stretch from base 186 to 339 matches the Rfam family "5.8S ribosomal RNA". Lineage: Eukaryota; Fungi; Ascomycota; Sordariomycetes; Amphisphaeriales; Sporocadaceae. The record is from RNAcentral.